CGCUGGCGGCGUGCCUAAUGCAUGCAAGUCGAACGAGAACCGUCGAGUUCGUAAGAACCCGGCGGGGACAGUGGCGAACGGGUGCGUAACACGUGAGAAACCUGCCCUGGAGACCGGGAUAGCCCGAGGAAACUCGGAUUAAUACCGGAUACCUUCGGAUGAUCGCAUGUCGACCGAAGAAACAGUCCGCUGCUCCAGGAUGGUCUCGCGGCCUAUCAGCUCGUUGGUGAGGUAACGGCUCACCAAGGCGAAGACGGGUAGCUGGUCUGAGAGGACGAUCAGCCACACUGGGACUGAGACACGGCCCAGACUCCGUACGGGAGGCAGCAGCAGGGAAUAUUGCACAAUGGGCGAAAGCCUGAUGCAGCGACGCCGCGUGCGGGAUGAAGGCCUUCGGGUCGUAAACCGCUUUCAGCAGGGACGAAAAUUGACGGUACCUGCAGAAGAAGCCCCGGCCAACUACGUG
This 466-nucleotide ribosomal RNA is filed under the name uncultured bacterium. RNAcentral describes it as "bacterial SSU rRNA". It matches the Rfam family "Bacterial small subunit ribosomal RNA", at positions 34 to 507 of the family's 1533-position model. The record is from RNAcentral.